AGAACUCUCCUUCUAAUACAG
This 21-nucleotide small nuclear RNA is filed under the name Arabidopsis thaliana (thale cress). RNAcentral's name for it is "snRNA_10813". The record is from RNAcentral. Lineage: Eukaryota; Viridiplantae; Streptophyta; Magnoliopsida; Brassicales; Brassicaceae.